This 1399-nucleotide ribosomal RNA is filed under the name uncultured bacterium. RNAcentral describes it as "partial 16S ribosomal RNA". It matches the Rfam family "Bacterial small subunit ribosomal RNA". The record is from RNAcentral.
AGUUUUUUCCUGGCUCCAGGAUGAACGCCGGGCGGCGUUCCUAACCCAUGCAAGUCGAACGAAAGCGCCUGCGGCGGGCCCCUUCCGGGGGAAAGCCGCGGGGGACUGAGUGGCGGACGGGGUGAGCAACGCGUGGGCCAACCUGCCCCGUACCGGGGGACAACAGCCGGAAACGGCUGCUAAUACCGCAUAUUCCCGCGGGGCCGCAUGGCCCUGCGGGGAAAGCUCCGGCAGUACGGGAUGGGCCCGCGUCUGAUUAGCUUGUUGGCGGGGUAACGGCCCACCAAGGCUGCGAUCAGUAGCCGGCCUGAGAGGGCGGCCGGCCACAUUGGGACUGAGACACGGCCCAGACUCCUGCGGGAGGCAGCAGUGGGGGAUAUUGCACAAUGGGGGGAACCCUGAUGCAGCGACGCCGCGUGAACGAAGAAAUAUUUCGGUAUGUAAAGUUCUAUCAGCAGGGAAGAAAAUGACAGUACCUGACCAAGAAGCCCCGGCUAACUACGUGCCAGCAGCCGCGGUAAUACGUAGGGGGCGAGCGUUAUCCGGAUUCACUGGGCGUAAAGGGAGCGCAGGCGGCACGGCAAGUCCGGUGUGAAAGCCCGGGGCCCAACCCCGGGACUGCACUGGAAACUGCCGGGCUGGAGUGUCGGAGGGGCAGGCGGAAUUCCUAGUGUAGCGGUGAAAUGCGUAGAUAUUAGGAGGAACACCGGUGGCGAAGGCGGCCUGCUGGACGACGAUUGACGCUGAGGCUCGAAAGCGUGGGGAGCAAACAGGAUUAGAUACCCUGGUAGUCCACGCCGUAAACGAUGAGCGCUAGGUGUCCGGGGGGAAUGGCCCCUGGGUGCCACAGCGAAAGCGUUAAGCGCUCCACCUGGGGAGUACGCCGGCAACGGUGAAACUCAAAGGAAUUGACGGGGGCCCGCACAAGCGGAGGAACAUGUGGUUUAAUUCGAUGAUACGCGAGGAACCUUACCCGGGCUCAAACGCAGGAGGGAUGUUUUUGAAAGGAGGCAGCCAGCAAUGGUCUCCUGCGAGGUGCUGCAUGGUUGUCGUCAGCUCGUGCCGUGAGGUGUCGGCUUAAGUGCCAUAACGAGCGCAACCCCUACCUACAGUUGCCAUCGCGUGAUGGCGGGCACUCUGUGGGGACUGCCUGCGCAAGCAGUGAGGAAGGCGGGGAUGACGUCAAAUCAGCACGGCCCUUACGUCCGGGGCGACACACGUGUUACAAUGGCAGGUACAGCGGGAAGCCACCCGGCGACGGGGCGCGGAACCCGAAAACCUGUCUCAGUUCGGAUUGGAGUCUGCAACCCGACUCCAUGAAGCUGGAUUCGCUAGUAAUCGCGCAUCAGCCACGGCGCGGUGAAUACGUUCCCGGGCCUUGCACACACCGCCCGUCAAG